GGCGGCGUGGAUAAGACAUGCAAGUCGAACGGGAUUACUUUUGGUAGCAAUACCGAAAGUGAUCCAGUGGCGAACGGGUGCGUAACACGUGGGCAAUCUACCGAGAAGUGGGGGAUAGCUCGCCGAAAGGCGAAUUAAUACCGCAUGUGAUCAGGGGAGACAUCUUCCCGAAAUCAAAGGUGGCGCAAGCUACCGCUUUUUGAGGAGCCCGCGGCCUAUCAGCUUGUUGGUGAGGUAACGGCUCACCAAGGCGUUGACGGGUAGCUGGUCUGAGAGGACGACCAGUCACACUGGGACUGAGACACGGCCCAGACACCUACGGGUGGCAGCAGUCGAGAAUUUUUCUCAAUGGGGGAAACCCUGAAGGAGCGACGCCGCGUGGAGGAUGAAGGUCUUCGGGUUGUAAACUCCUGUCAUUUGGGAACAAGGUGCGCGCGUUAACUGCGCGCGUAUUGAUAGUACCAGAAGAAGAAGAGACGGCUAACUCUGUGCCAGCAGCCGCGGUAAUACAGAA
Molecule: ribosomal RNA, 514 nt
Filed under: uncultured Verrucomicrobiota bacterium
Lineage: Bacteria; Pseudomonadati; Verrucomicrobiota
Description: bacterial SSU rRNA
Rfam family: Bacterial small subunit ribosomal RNA
Source: RNAcentral